GAAAGUAACUAUCUGAACCAAGUUUUUUAAAAAUUACUCAAUUGAGUGAAAAGUCUCAUAUAAAGAAAAUAGACGAGAAGACCCUAGAAAUUUUUAUAUAUGUUUUUAUAUUUCAUAUUAUUCUAUUUUGUUGGGGCGACAUAGUAACAAUUAACUUACUGUAUAUAAUAUGCUAUUUAUUAGUCGAAAGAAUAAAUUACUCUAGGGAUAACAGCAUAAUUCACUUAUGAGUUUGUGACCUCGAUGUUGGACUA
RNAcentral lists this ribosomal RNA (254 nucleotides) under Trochulus sp. AD-2010a. RNAcentral's name for it is "partial 16S ribosomal RNA". The record is from RNAcentral. Lineage: Eukaryota; Metazoa; Mollusca; Gastropoda; Stylommatophora; Hygromiidae.